This 190-nucleotide ribosomal RNA is filed under the name uncultured bacterium. Its description in RNAcentral is "partial 16S ribosomal RNA". It matches the Rfam family "Bacterial small subunit ribosomal RNA", at positions 1311 to 1500 of the family's 1533-position model. The record is from RNAcentral.
CUCGCCUACAUGAAGUCGGAAUCGCUAGUAAUCGCGGAUCAGCAUGCCGCGGUGAAUACGUUCCCGGGCCUUGUACACACCGCCCGUCACACCAUGAGAGUUUGUAACACCCAAAGCCGGUGGGGUAACCUUUUGGAGCCAGCCGUCUAAGGUGGGACAGAUGAUUGGGGUGAAGUCGUAACAAGGUAGC